Non-coding RNA from Ictidomys tridecemlineatus (thirteen-lined ground squirrel), 72 nucleotides. The record is from Rfam. NCBI's taxonomy places the organism in Eukaryota, Metazoa, Chordata, Mammalia, Rodentia, Sciuridae.
UGGGGUGUGGCUCAGUGGUAGAGCACUUUCCCAGCAUGUGUGAGGCACUGGGUUCGAUUCUCAGCACCGCAU